This 468-nucleotide ribosomal RNA is filed under the name uncultured bacterium. RNAcentral's name for it is "partial 16S ribosomal RNA". It matches the Rfam family "Bacterial small subunit ribosomal RNA", at positions 28 to 507 of the family's 1533-position model. The record is from RNAcentral.
GACGAACGCUGGCGGCGUGCUUAAUACAUGCAAGUCGAACGGAAAGGCCCUGCUUUUGUGGGGUGCUCGAGUGGCGAACGGGUGAGUAACACGUGAGUAACCUGCCCUUGACUUUGGGAUAACUUCAGGAAACUGGGGCUAAUACCGGAUAGGAGCUCCUGCUGCAUGGGGGGGGUUGGAAAGUUUCGGCGGUUGGGGAUGGACUCGCGGCUUAUCAGCUUGUUGGUGGGGUAGUGGCUUACCAAGGCUUUGACGGGUAGCCGGCCUGAGAGGGUGACCGGCCACAUUGGGACUGAGAUACGGCCCAGACUCCUACGGGAGGCAGCAGUGGGGAAUAUUGCACAAUGGGCGGAAGCCUGAUGCAGCAACGCCGCGUGCGGGAUGACGGCCUUCGGGUUGUAAACCGCUUUCGCCUGUGACGAAGCGUGAGUGACGGUAAUGGGUAAAGAAGCACCGGCUAACUACGUG